RNAcentral lists this ribosomal RNA (234 nucleotides) under uncultured bacterium. RNAcentral's name for it is "partial 16S ribosomal RNA". It matches the Rfam family "Bacterial small subunit ribosomal RNA", at positions 32 to 240 of the family's 1533-position model. The record is from RNAcentral.
AAUCAACGCUGGCGGCGUGCCUAACACAUGCGAAGUCGAACGCGAAAGGGGGGCUUCGGCUCCGUAAGUAGAGUGGCGUCCGGGUGAGUAACACGUAGGUAAUCUGCCUUCGGGUGCGGAAUAACCAGUCGAAAGAUUGGCUAAUACCGCAUAAUGCAGCGGCACCUAAAUGGUGAUUAGUUGUUAAAGCGGGGGAUCGUAAGACCUCGCGCCUGAAGAGGAGCCUGCGGCAGA